UGAGAGCAGAACACCAUGGUGGCACUCCAGGCUUUACCCUGACAGCGGAGUAGAUUUAUCUUCAACUGGUUCUGCUGGUUCUCCAGCCUUGAAACAAAAACAGGAGUUGUUGGCUCGAAAGGAGGCACAAGGGAACAGGAGAGACGACAAGGAUGCCUCCUUAUUCCAAGUAUUCCCAGGGGAACCACCUUCAGGGGGGUAUUUACCAGGCCUUCUCAGAAAUGGAGGACUUGCUUUAAAAACGAAAGAAUUGUCAAGUUAUCAACCAGAUAGAAGACGGGAAUACAUCAACAGUAUUAGAAAUCAUCGAACAAAACUAUUCAGAAGUGCAUGGGAUUAAAUUUGAAUUAACUUAAACCUGUAAAUUAGGCCUCUACAUUUGAUGGGUUGACAAGAAAAAUGUCUUUAACAUGGAAAAUAUUACAUAUUUUUUUUGUAAUCAAUAUUUUUCUAUAAAUUACUUUUAAUAGUUUAAAAACCUUUAAAACUAAACUUUAAGUAUAAAUUUAUGUUCGAAUAUGAAUUUUAACGAUUUAUUUCAAAUUUUGUUCUCCUGAUAGGCCUGGCCGUGAAAAAAAACAUCUCAAUUUUACUCUCUUUUAUUUCCACACCACUUGUUGAAGCAUUUAAGAUUUUUUAACACCGUGAGAUACCCAAACAUUAUAUUUGAUGGAUUCCACCGAUGGUUUGUGAACUAAAACCCUAUUUAUAAUGAUUUAAUAAAAUCAAGUGAUGACAGUCAAUGUAUUUAAACUUCAUAUUUAUCUAUUUAUUUACUGUAUUUAUUUAUGUGAACGUUUUGUUUAAAGUUUAAACAAU
This is a long non-coding RNA of Eurytemora carolleeae, 819 nucleotides long. RefSeq lists it as uncharacterized. The record is from RefSeq and is a predicted model, not a curated record. The transcript has 4 exons. Lineage: Eukaryota; Metazoa; Arthropoda; Copepoda; Calanoida; Temoridae.